Molecule: ribosomal RNA, 279 nt
Filed under: uncultured Staphylococcus sp.
Lineage: Bacteria; Bacillati; Bacillota; Bacilli; Caryophanales; Staphylococcaceae
Description: partial 16S ribosomal RNA
Rfam family: Bacterial small subunit ribosomal RNA
Source: RNAcentral
CCUUUGACGUUAGCGGCGGACGGGUGAGUAACACGUGGGUAACCUACCUAUAAGACUGGGAUAACUUCGGGAAACCGGAGCUAAUACCGGAUAAUAUUUCGAACCGCAUGGUUCGAUAGUGAAAGAUGGUUUUGCUAUCACUUAUAGAUGGACCCGCGCCGUAUUAGCUAGUUAGUAAGGUAACGGCUUACCAAGGCGACGAUACGUAGCCGACCUGAGAGGGUGAUCGGCCACACUGGAACUGAGACACGGUCCAGACUCCUACGGGAGGCAGCAGCC